UCGAUUGAAGCCCUUACCUCUCUCAAAUCCUCUGCAACAUUCAACCGUGUUCUUCAUCCUGAAGAACACGACAGCCCCCAAGCCCAGAAAACAACCACAUACCGCCUUGCCGGCCGCCUUUGAUCGGCGCCUACCGCCUGUCACUGGCGGAGAAACCUUAAAAAAAUUGCUUUUCCGAAAGCCCAUAACACCCUCGUCACGAAAAUCAUCAUAGUUUUUUAAAAUAUGCCUCGUAGGGGUGUAGAUCUAAAAAAGAGAUUUCAAACACCCCCAUUUUCGGUCAUCGACGUUUGGGUUUUAAUCAAAGAAAUCAGAGAGCAAAGUCGAAGCAUGCAAAGUGAAAAGUAACCAUAACAAAGUCACGUUCGCUGGACGGUUCGGGAUUGAUCGAGAAACGCGAUUGGCUGAGGGGUCUUCAAAAAUGGCACUGGAAUGGGAAAAGAAUGCUAGGGUUUCAAACCCUAGCUGGACCGGUUCAGGUUUGGACCCCCUACUAGAUACGGUUCGGGUGUUAAGCGGGUCAUGUGCAAUUGCUGGGUCACCCACUUUUUGGGUCUUGGUUGGGCCAUAUGCAAAUGUUUGUAACAAGUUCGGGCCGAAUGUAAUGGACUUGCAAGUGUAAAAUAAACAUAUGAAUGUAAAUAAAAUUAUACUAUAUAAUAUAAUUAAAAUUAUAUUA
Molecule: long non-coding RNA, 679 nt
Organism: Hibiscus syriacus
Lineage: Eukaryota; Viridiplantae; Streptophyta; Magnoliopsida; Malvales; Malvaceae
Exons: 2
Source: RefSeq, a predicted model, not a curated record